This 253-nucleotide ribosomal RNA is filed under the name uncultured bacterium. RNAcentral's name for it is "partial 16S ribosomal RNA". It matches the Rfam family "Bacterial small subunit ribosomal RNA", at positions 524 to 776 of the family's 1533-position model. The record is from RNAcentral.
UACAGAGGCCACGAGCGUUAGGCGGAAUCACUGGGCUUAAAGCGUGUGUAGGUGGAUAGGUAAGUACCUUGUGAAAUCCCACAACUCAACUGUGGAACUGCUUGGUAUACUGCCCGUCUUGAGGCACUCAGGGGCGAGCGGAACAGAUGGUGGAGCGGUGAAAUGCGUAGAUAUCAUCUGGAACGCCAAUGGUGAAGACAGCUCGCUGGGGGUGUACUGACACUGAGACACGAAAGCCAGGGGAGCAAACGGG